Long non-coding RNA from Rhipicephalus microplus (southern cattle tick), 667 nucleotides. NCBI's taxonomy places the organism in Eukaryota, Metazoa, Arthropoda, Arachnida, Ixodida, Ixodidae. The record is from RefSeq and is a predicted model, not a curated record.
CCUCGAACGGGCGCGAUAGGGGAAGUGUCGGCGAGAUAAGGCCCGUCGUUGGGGGAACGCCUCGCGAAGGAAACGAAGCGCUGUUCGGCACGAAGCCGGGAGUCUAAAUUCCAGCCAAUAACCAAGCACAACUUGUCGGAGAAGUGUAGCUAGGCAGGAGUAUUGAAACCACCGUGUCCGCCAUUCCUAAAGCCUAUAGGCGUCGCACAGCCACCUCCGCUUAAGCACAUCAGGUGCAACAACAACGCCGUUAUGGUUUUGACGAACGAUCUUCGUUGCGCGGACAAGAAGUGCAACCAACCGCUGCCGAAUAAAAAUAGCACAUUCUUGCGUUGCUCAAUGUGCUGCAAGCUUACGUGUCGGGACUGCAAUGCGCAGCACGAGGGCAAGAACUGCAAGGAUUACAGAGCCACCUUAGCAGAACAGGAUCAAGCAGGAUGCCCCUGAAGCGAGCACUUGGGAAGAAAUUGCUGGAUCGAGUAGUGCCGAUCACGUCUCUGACGACACGGUUGUCCCGGAGGAGUUCAUACCUGGACAGCACUACGUCUGCGGUGUGGAUGGCUGCUGCUUCGCGGUCGUCCUCCACGAAGGAUCCAAGAAAUUUUGGUGUGCCUUGUGUCACAGCAGACACAAAAUCGUGGACAACAAGAUUAUAAGGGCCAAGGGA